CGUGUCCCGACUUUCGAAAUCGGCGUGUCGGGGUGGGGGGAACUCCCUGUGCCGUCGCGCGCGGCUGGCCUGCGCGGAGGCCCGGAUUUACCAAGAUGAUCGUGAAAUAGGGCCAGUAGGGAGGCUGAGCAGGAGUAGCCUGGAUCCCUGCCCGUAAAGAACUAGGAUCUGCUCUCUGGGGACCGGUGGGGUGAAAAGCGCCUACUCCGGGUGGACGGCGCAGGUCCGGGCCCGAUAAGACUUAGGUUUGACACAUGCGGACUUCCACCACUGGAAGACUGGAGGAAAGGGCUCUGCGACCCUGACUGACCCAGAGCCAGCCGCCUUAUGGGGACAGCGUCAAGAUAUCUUGACAGGAUGGAAAAUACGUGCAGAACCUGUUGUUAUAAUAGACAGAAAAUUGAGCUGUAGUCUAUGUUAUAGGUUCUGACCAAAGGAACUUCCUAAGUUAAUAUUAACUUAAGGGACUCCCUUGGGCAAAGUACUGACAGUGGCCAAAGGCCCUUCGGUCUGACCAUCUUCCGAGAACCAGAGCUGCUGUAAAGACAAUUCCUCUGCACUCUGACCACUGCCACGUUCUCAGGUCCUAGUCUAAGGGGGCCCAUUGUGAAGCCAAAAAGAUGGCAAUUGUUUCGUCUCGAUGGCUUUAAUGAUAAAUCCAUUCGCUGCUUGUACAAACUGCCUGACCUUAAGGACAGAUCGAAUAUUUUCUGGUAAAAUAGGCUAAAACGGUUGUUACUGACCUUUAAAAGUAUUUUGAUCACAUGAAGUCUUUCAAGUCA
Long non-coding RNA from Rattus rattus (black rat), 782 nucleotides. RefSeq lists it as uncharacterized. The transcript is spliced from 2 exons. NCBI's taxonomy places the organism in Eukaryota, Metazoa, Chordata, Mammalia, Rodentia, Muridae. The record is from RefSeq and is a predicted model, not a curated record.